RNAcentral lists this ribosomal RNA (260 nucleotides) under uncultured bacterium. RNAcentral describes it as "partial 16S ribosomal RNA". It matches the Rfam family "Bacterial small subunit ribosomal RNA", at positions 94 to 354 of the family's 1533-position model. The record is from RNAcentral.
AGCGGCGGACGGGUGAGUAACGCGUGGGGAACCUGCCCUAUACAGGGGGAUAACAGUUAGAAAUGACUGCUAAUACCGCAUAAGCGCACGGAGCCGCAUGGCGCUGAGUGAAAAACGAUAGUGGUAUAGGAGGGGCCCGCGUCUGAUUAGGUAGUUGGUGGGGUAACGGCCCACCAAGCCGACGAUCAGUAGCCGACCUGAGAGGGUGACCGGCCACAUUGGGACUGAGACACGGCCCAAACUCCUACGGAAGGCAGCAG